UAGUACGAGAGGACCGGGAUGGACGGACCGCUGGUGUAUCUGUUGUUGUACCAACAGCAUGGCAGAGUAGCCAAGUCCGGCAGGGAUAAACGCUGAAGGCAUCUAAGCGUGAAGCCCCCCUCAAGAUGAGAUAUCCCUGACACAAGUCAAUAAGACCCCUUGAAGACGACGAGGUAGAUAGGCUUGAGGUGGAAGUGUGGUAACACAUGGAGCUGACAAGUACUAAUCGGUCGAAGGCUUAACUUA
RNAcentral lists this ribosomal RNA (246 nucleotides) under Bacillota bacterium. Its description in RNAcentral is "partial 23S ribosomal RNA". It matches the Rfam family "Bacterial large subunit ribosomal RNA", at positions 2679 to 2925 of the family's 2925-position model. Lineage: Bacteria; Bacillati; Bacillota. The record is from RNAcentral.